GAGAAUUUUUCUCAAUGGGGGAAACCCUGAAGGAGCGACGCCGCGUGGAGGAUGAAGGUCUUCGGAUUGUAAACUCCUGUCAUUUGAGAACAAGUGUUUCCGGGUCACUACCGGGGACUUGAUAGUAUCAGAAGAGGAAGAGGCGGCUAACUCUGUGCCAGCAGCCGCGGUAAUACAGAGGCCUCAAGCGUUGUUCGGAUUCAUUGGGCGUAAAGGGAGCGUAGGCGGUCGGGUAAGUCGGAUGUGAAAUCCUGGGGCUCAACCUCAGAACUGCAUUCGAUACUGCUUGGCUAGAGGACUGGAGAGGUGAGUGGAAUUCACGGUGUAGCAGUGAAAUGCGUAGAUAUCGUGAGGAAGACCAGCGGCGAAGGCGGCUCACUGGACAGUUUCUGACGCUGAUGCUCGAAGGCCAGGGGAGCAAA
Molecule: ribosomal RNA, 422 nt
Filed under: uncultured bacterium
Lineage: Bacteria
Description: bacterial SSU rRNA
Rfam family: Bacterial small subunit ribosomal RNA
Source: RNAcentral